Molecule: ribosomal RNA, 353 nt
Filed under: uncultured bacterium
Lineage: Bacteria
Description: bacterial SSU rRNA
Rfam family: Bacterial small subunit ribosomal RNA
Source: RNAcentral
AACGAACGCUGGCGGCAUGCCUAACACAUGCAAGUCGAACGAGACCUUCGGGUCUAGUGGCGCACGGGUGCGUAACGCGUGGGAACCUGCCUUUAGGUUCGGAAUAACUCAGAGAAAUUUGAGCUAAUACCGGAUAAUGUCUUCGGACCAAAGAUUUAUCGCCUUCAGAUGGGCCCGCGUUGGAUUAGCUAGUUGGUGGGGUAAAGCCUACCAAGGCGACGAUCCAUAGCUGGUCUGAGAGGAUGAUCAGCCACACUGGGACUGAGACACGGCCCAGACUCCUACGGGAGGCAGCAGUGGGGAAUAUUGGACAAUGGGCGAAAGCCUGAUCCAGCAAUGCCGCGUGAGUGAUG